Molecule: long non-coding RNA, 513 nt
Filed under: Pongo abelii (Sumatran orangutan)
Lineage: Eukaryota; Metazoa; Chordata; Mammalia; Primates; Hominidae
Description: lincRNA
Source: RNAcentral
AAAAUGUCACCUGAUUUUAGUUGUCCCUCACUGAUUCAAGUAAUUUCCUUUAUUCAGGUGGAUCUGCCUGUUGGCGGAGAACCCUAGAAUGCAUGCAACCAUGCACAUCAUCUGGAGACACAGCAGGUCAUCCUCAGCAUUUAUACUCUGUCUCCUUUUGUGCCCCCAUGGACCAAGUUAAGAAGGUGUAGGCUUCAAAUCUGAAGACUGGUCACCACAAAAUUCAAAGAGACAAGGUCUUUGUCUGUUGCUCAGGAUGGAGUGUAGUGGUGCCAUAGCUCACUGUAAUCUUGAAUUUCUGGGCUACUGGCAUACACUACCAUGCUUGGGUUCGGGCCACAACAUCCGUGAGUUUAGCGGUUUUGGUCUCUUCCUUGUGACCUUCGGCUCUAGGAUGCUGCACAGCUCCUCUCUGCACUAUCUAUCAGAAUGUUGCUCUGCGUGCUUGAAAGUUUCCCCAAACAGAGGUACAUAAAAACAAACAGAGGUGAAACACAAAUCCCCUCAGCCCUG